RNAcentral lists this non-coding RNA (74 nucleotides) under Chromobacterium sp. RNAcentral's name for it is "SAH sequence". It matches the Rfam family "SAH (S-adenosyl-L-homocysteine) riboswitch aptamer". Lineage: Bacteria; Pseudomonadati; Pseudomonadota; Betaproteobacteria; Neisseriales; Chromobacteriaceae. RNAcentral also lists the same sequence under 1 other name. The record is from RNAcentral.
CGGCCCGAGGGGCGCUGCGAGGAUGAUCCAUCCCCAGGCUCGGGCCGCUCCCGCUUCAACGGCGCUCACCUGAU